RNAcentral lists this ribosomal RNA (458 nucleotides) under Sporolactobacillaceae bacterium 1(2010). RNAcentral describes it as "bacterial SSU rRNA". It matches the Rfam family "Bacterial small subunit ribosomal RNA", at positions 243 to 692 of the family's 1533-position model. The record is from RNAcentral. Lineage: Bacteria; Bacillati; Bacillota; Bacilli; Caryophanales; Sporolactobacillaceae.
AGCUAGUUGGUAAGGUAAUGGCUUACCAAGGCAACGAUGCGUAGCCGACCUGAGAGGGUGAUCGGCCACACUGGAACUGAGACACGGUCCAGACUCCUACGGGAGGCAGCAGUAGGGAAUCAUCCGCAAUGGGCGAAAGCCUGACGGUGCAACGCCGCGUGAACGAUGAAGGUUUUCGGAUCGUAAAGUUCUGUUAUGAGGGAAGAACAAGUGCCGUUCGAAUAGGGCGGCACCUUGACGGUACCUCACGAGAAAGCCCCGGCUAACUACGUGCCAGCAGCCGCGGUAAUACGUAGGGGGCAAGCGUUGUCCGGAAUUAUUGGGCGUAAAGCGCGCGCAGGCGGUCUUUUAAGUCUGAUGUGAAAGCCCACGGCUCAACCGUGGAGGGUCAUUGGAAACUGGGAGACUUGAGUGUAGGAGAGGAAAGUGGAAUUCCACGUGUAGCGGUGAAAUGCGUA